RNAcentral lists this ribosomal RNA (260 nucleotides) under uncultured prokaryote. RNAcentral's name for it is "partial 16S ribosomal RNA". It matches the Rfam family "Bacterial small subunit ribosomal RNA", at positions 524 to 782 of the family's 1533-position model. The record is from RNAcentral.
UACGUAGGUGGCGAGCGUUGUCCGGAAUUACUGGGCGUAAAGAGCUCGUAGGUGGCUUGUCACGUCGUCUGUGAAAUUCCGGGGCUUAACCUCGGGCGUGCAGGCGAUACGGGCAAUACUUGAGUGCUGUAGGGGAGACUGGAAUUCCUGGUGUAGCGGUGAAAUGCGCAGAUAUCAGGAGGAACACCAAUGGCGAAGGCAGGUCUCUGGGCAGUUACUGACGCUGAGGAGCUAAAGCAUGGGUAGCGAACAGGAUUAGA